RNAcentral lists this non-coding RNA (23 nucleotides) under Mus musculus (house mouse). Lineage: Eukaryota; Metazoa; Chordata; Mammalia; Rodentia; Muridae. The record is from RNAcentral.
UAGUGAAUCCUUUUUCAUUUGGG